AUUAGCUCAGUUGGUUAGAGCCUGGUGUUAAUAAUUCCAAGGUUGUGGGUUUGAUCCCUAUAU
Non-coding RNA from Manacus vitellinus (golden-collared manakin), 63 nucleotides. The record is from Rfam. Lineage: Eukaryota; Metazoa; Chordata; Aves; Passeriformes; Pipridae.